Long non-coding RNA from Setaria italica (foxtail millet), 692 nucleotides. RefSeq lists it as uncharacterized. The record is from RefSeq and is a predicted model, not a curated record. NCBI's taxonomy places the organism in Eukaryota, Viridiplantae, Streptophyta, Magnoliopsida, Poales, Poaceae. The transcript has 2 exons.
CCAUUCAAGCAAUGCCACAAAACCAACAAUCUGCAGCUACAGGUGGGCAACACCAUUGCCCUAUCCAGGCAGGAACAUGACAGGAAGUCAUAGACGAUUUGGAAUCUGGAAGUGUGUAGCCUGCCUCCUGCACUUAACCGAAGCAGCAGCCAUGUUGUACAGCUGAUGGGUACGGGCAAGAUAAAUCAUGGCACACAGAGGUUUAUCUGCAGUAAAGGUUAAACACGACGCAUAAACCUCUGCAGUAAAGGUUAAACACGACGCAUGAGCAUAAUUGCCGAAUGACUUGAGAAGGAAAAGGAUGACCAAGUCUUCAGAAUUUAAUUGAAGAAUAAGUUGAAAAGAUGGCCGCCUUUCAGAACUUACGGCGUGAGUAUAUGCAUCGGGCAACUAUGCAGCGAAAAUGGUUUACGAAAUCAACGGACAAAUUUGCACUUGUCUGCAGGAUGAGAACUCUUAUAAUAUAGCAAACUAGAGAAUGGAAACAAGGUGCGGAAGGUGUGUGUCCAUUUUCUUUUGAAGCAUCUAGUUACAUGUUACACAUUGUACAGUGAGCGUCCUGCCAGCUUUUUAUCUUUCCUGGCAAAAGAAAGAGAGAGAAAGAAAGGAAGAAAUCUGUCUGUAUAACUUUGUUUUACAACUUGAGAUGGAAACUGAUGCAUGCUUUACUUGAUGCAUGCUUAACUGGAGAA